This 496-nucleotide ribosomal RNA is filed under the name uncultured bacterium. RNAcentral describes it as "partial 16S ribosomal RNA". It matches the Rfam family "Bacterial small subunit ribosomal RNA", at positions 28 to 506 of the family's 1533-position model. The record is from RNAcentral.
GAUGAACGCUGGCGGCGUGCCUAAUACAUGCAAGUCGAGCGAACAGACGAGGAGCUUGCUCCUCUGACGUUAGCGGCGGACGGGUGAGUAACACGUGGAUAACCUACCUAUAAGACUGGGAUAACUUCGGGAAACCGGAGCUAAUACCGGAUAACAUGUUGAACCGCAUGGUUCAACAGUGAAAGACGGUCUUGCUGUCACUUAUAGAUGGAUCCGCGCCGCAUUAGCUAGUUGGUAAGGUAACGGCUUACCAAGGCAACGAUGCGUAGCCGACCUGAGAGGGUGAUCGGCCACACUGGAACUGAGACACGGUCCAGACUCCUACGGGAGGCAGCAGUAGGGAAUCUUCCGCAAUGGGCGAAAGCCUGACGGAGCAACGCCGCGUGAGUGAAGAAGGUCUUCGGAUCGUAAAACUCUGUUAUUAGGAAAGAACAAAUGUGUAAGUAACUAUGCACGUCUUGACGGUACCUAAUCAGAAAGCCACGGCGAACUACGU